Molecule: ribosomal RNA, 497 nt
Filed under: uncultured bacterium
Lineage: Bacteria
Description: partial 16S ribosomal RNA
Rfam family: Bacterial small subunit ribosomal RNA
Source: RNAcentral
GAUGAACGCUGGCGGCGUGCCUAAUACAUGCAAGUCGAGCGAACAGACGAGGAGCUUGCUCCUCUGACGUUAGCGGCGGACGGGUGAGUAACACGUGGAUAACCUACCUAUAAGACUGGGAUAACUUCGGGAAACCGGAGCUAAUACCGGAUAAUAUAUUGAACCGCAUGGUUCAAUAGUGAAAGACGGUUUUGCUGUCACUUAUAGAUGGAUCCGCGCCGCAUUAGCUAGUUGGUAAGGUAACGGCUUACCAAGGCAACGAUGCGUAGCCGACCUGAGAGGGUGAUCGGCCACACUGGAACUGAGACACGGUCCAGACUCCUACGGGAGGCAGCAGUAGGGAAUCUUCCGCAAUGGGCGAAAGCCUGACGGAGCAACGCCGCGUGAGUGAUGAAGGUCUUCGGAUCGUAAAACUCUGUUAUUAGGGAAGUACAAAUGUGUAAGUAACUAUGCACGGCUUGACGGUACCUAAUCAGAAAGCCACGGCUAACUACGUG